This 72-nucleotide transfer RNA is filed under the name Serpula lacrymans var. lacrymans S7.9. RNAcentral describes it as "tRNA-Cys (GCA) (tRNA-Cys-GCA-2-1)". It matches the Rfam family "tRNA". From Rfam's summary of the family: Transfer RNA (tRNA) molecules are approximately 80 nucleotides in length. Their secondary structure includes four short double-helical elements and three loops (D, anti-codon, and T loops). Lineage: Eukaryota; Fungi; Basidiomycota; Agaricomycetes; Boletales; Serpulaceae. The record is from RNAcentral. RNAcentral also lists the same sequence under 1 other name.
GACCCUAUAGCUCAGUGGUAGAGCGCACGAUUGCAAAUCGUGCGGUCCCGUGUUCGAACCACGGUAGUGUCU